RNAcentral lists this transfer RNA (87 nucleotides) under Didymella exigua CBS 183.55. It matches the Rfam family "tRNA". From Rfam's summary of the family: Transfer RNA (tRNA) molecules are approximately 80 nucleotides in length. Their secondary structure includes four short double-helical elements and three loops (D, anti-codon, and T loops). Lineage: Eukaryota; Fungi; Ascomycota; Dothideomycetes; Pleosporales; Didymellaceae. The record is from Rfam by way of RNAcentral.
UCUUCGAUAGUAUAGUGGUCAGUAUUUCUGCUUGUCAUUCUCAGGAACAGCUCGCAGGAGGCCGGGGUUCGAUUCCCCGUCGGAGAG